CGGAGCUUGCUCCACCGAAAGAAAAAGAGUGGCGAACGGGUGAGUAACACGUGGGUAACCUGCCCAUCAGAAGGGGAUAACACUUGGAAACAGGUGCUAAUACCGUAUAACACUAUUUUCCGCAUGGAAGAAAGUUGAAAGGCGCUUUUGCGUCACUGAUGGAUGGACCCGCGGUGCAUUAGCUAGUUGGUGAGGUAACGGCUCACCAAGGCAACGAUGCAUAGCCGACCUGAGAGGGUGAUCGGCCACACUGGGACUGAGACACGGCCCAGACUCCUACGGGAGGCAGCAGUAGGGAAUCUUCGGCAAUGGACGAAAGUCUGACCGAGCAACGCCGCGUGAGUGAAGAAGGUUUUCGGAUCGUAAAACUCUGUUGUUAGAGAAGAACAAGGAUGAGAGUAAAAUGUUCAUCCCUUGACGGUAUCUAACCAGAAAGCCACGGCUAACUACGUGCCAGCAGCCGCGGUAAUACGUAGGUGGCAAGCGUUGUCCGGAUUUAUUGGGCGUAAAGCGAGCGCAGGCGGUUUCUUAAGUCUGAUGUGAAAGCCCCCGGCUCAACCGGGGAGGGUCAUUGGAAACUGGGAGACUUGAGUGCAGAAGAGGAGAGUGGAAUUCCAUGUGUAGCGGUGAAAUGCGUAGAUAUAUGGAGGAACACCAGUGGCGAAGGCGGCUCUCUGGUCUGUAACUGACGCUGAGGCUCGAAAGCGUGGGGAGCGAACAGGAUUAGAUACCCUGGUAGUCCACGCCGUAAACGAUGAGUGCUAAGUGUUGGGAGGGUUUCCGCCCUUCCUUGCUGCACCAAAC
This 804-nucleotide ribosomal RNA is filed under the name Enterococcus casseliflavus. Its description in RNAcentral is "bacterial SSU rRNA". It matches the Rfam family "Bacterial small subunit ribosomal RNA", at positions 74 to 856 of the family's 1533-position model. Lineage: Bacteria; Bacillati; Bacillota; Bacilli; Lactobacillales; Enterococcaceae. The record is from RNAcentral.